Molecule: ribosomal RNA, 321 nt
Filed under: uncultured Cercozoa
Lineage: Eukaryota; Cercozoa
Also listed under: 1 other name
Description: SSU rRNA
Rfam family: Eukaryotic small subunit ribosomal RNA (bases 104-321)
Source: RNAcentral
GAUUUCUGGCUUGAUGUUCCUGGCCCGCCUCGGUUACGAGUGUGAGUGCCGGGUUGCAUCUGCCAUCCUUCCAGAAAACGGCUUUGCCCUUCACUGGGUGGAGUCGCGAUCUGGAUCUAUUACUUUGAAAAAAUUAGAGUGUUUAAAGCAGGCAUUUGCCGUGCAUACAUUAGCAUGGAAUAAUAAUUUAGGACUUUGGUUCUAUUUUGUUGGUUUCUAGGACUGAAGUAAUGAUUGAUAGGGAUAGUUGGGGGUGCUAGUAUUCAGUGGCCAGAGGUGAAAUUCUUGGAUUCACUGAAGACUAACUUAUGCGAAAGCAUU